GGAGUUGUGGCUCAGUGGUAGAGCACUUGCCUAGCACGCAUGAGGCACUGGGUUUGAUCCUCGCACCA
Molecule: transfer RNA, 68 nt
Filed under: Urocitellus parryii (Arctic ground squirrel)
Lineage: Eukaryota; Metazoa; Chordata; Mammalia; Rodentia; Sciuridae
Also listed under: 1 other name
Description: Spermophilus parryii (Arctic ground squirrel) tRNA
Rfam family: tRNA
About the family: Transfer RNA (tRNA) molecules are approximately 80 nucleotides in length. Their secondary structure includes four short double-helical elements and three loops (D, anti-codon, and T loops). Further hydrogen bonds mediate the characteristic L-shaped molecular structure. tRNAs have two regions of fundamental functional importance: the anti-codon, which is responsible for specific mRNA codon recognition, and the 3' end, to which the tRNAs corresponding amino acid is attached (by aminoacyl-tRNA synthetases). tRNAs cope with the degeneracy of the genetic code in two manners: having more than one tRNA (with a specific anti-codon) for a particular amino acid; and 'wobble' base-pairing, i.e. permitting non-standard base-pairing at the 3rd anti-codon position.
Source: Rfam by way of RNAcentral